Molecule: ribosomal RNA, 455 nt
Filed under: uncultured Bacteroidota bacterium
Lineage: Bacteria; Pseudomonadati; Bacteroidota
Description: bacterial SSU rRNA
Rfam family: Bacterial small subunit ribosomal RNA
Source: RNAcentral
GAUGAGCAUGCGUCCCAUUAGCUAGUUGGUAAGGUAACGGCUUACCAAGGCUACGAUGGGUAGGGGUCCUGAGAGGGAGAUCCCCCACACUGGUACUGAGACACGGACCAGACUCCUACGGGAGGCAGCAGUGAGGAAUAUUGGACAAUGGGCGCAAGCCUGAUCCAGCCAUGCCGCGUGCAGGAUGACGGUCCUAUGGAUUGUAAACUGCUUUUGCACAGGAAGAAACAACAUUACGUGUAAUGUCUUGACGGUACUGUGAGAAUAAGGAUCGGCUAACUCCGUGCCAGCAGCCGCGGUAAUACGGAGGAUCCAAGCGUUAUCCGGAAUCAUUGGGUUUAAAGGGUCCGUAGGCGGUUUAGUAAGUCAGUGGUGAAAGCCCAUCGCUCAACGGUGGAACGGCCAUUGAUACUGCUAGACUUGAAUUAUUAGGAAGUAACUAGAAUAUGUAGUGU